RNAcentral lists this long non-coding RNA (1076 nucleotides) under Helianthus annuus (common sunflower). RNAcentral describes it as "hypothetical non coding rna". The record is from RNAcentral. Lineage: Eukaryota; Viridiplantae; Streptophyta; Magnoliopsida; Asterales; Asteraceae.
GUAUCAAUUAUGCCAGCCUCACUGAACAGUUUAGAAAACAUCUCGACAGAGAAUGAAGGACCGGAUUCCGCUUUCCGGUGACCUUCCUGCAGAAACGACCGGCAGGGGAGGGUACAGGCGCAUUAGAGGCGAUUGAGCGGGGUCUGCAGGUGACCGAUCACGGCUGGUGAUACGGUGACGAUUUAAGAGGCGAAUCCGUCGGUUAGGGUUCCGACGAAGCUCAGGGGAAAUAUAACGAGAAGAUAGAGAAGAGGCGUCGCAGGAACCUGAACCGACGCACUUACAGAGGCUUGCCUAGGGUUUCGAAAUUGAUAAAAUCAGACGUUAAUAUUCAAAUUCUUUGGUUCCUUGGUUUAUUGAUUUUCUUCGUUAUGACGAUUUGGCGACAAUUGAAGCGUUAGGAAGGUUGGCGGUGGGUGACGGAGAAGUUUAACUUGACAACUAUCAGGUCUUAGUGUAUCACUUCUUUACAGAGGUUUAAUAAGGUGAAAGCAGUUUGUGUGUGAGGAGAUUCCAAGCCAACUGGAUGGGGUUCGAGUUUUGCUUUAAUUGAAUGGCAAUUCAUUUUCUAAUGGACCACUCUUGGAGAUUACGUCAAAGCCAUAGUUCAGUUCUAUUUUGAGGUUUACUCAAGUUCAAAUCUGGACUCUAGCGAAAAUGGUGCCAUGAAAGUAUUUUAUGGACUUGACGAUACAGAACUUUCAUUCUAAUUUGGGUUGGAAAUACCAUUGUCAUCUCUGGUCUGUCUCUUUUUGAGAGAAGAUGUGAUCAUUGUAAUAUCUUCAUUUUGAGACAUACUUACAAGUCUUUUAUAUCUUUCAAUUUUUGAGUUAAUUCUUAGUUUUCCAUGAAAUCUUGAGAGUGAAAUAGAAAAACUUGCUACGGAAGAAGCGGGUUUCAGGGACUGUGUGAGUGUGUCCGAUUCUGCUCAUCAAAAAGAUUCUUCUAUGGGAUAUUAUUGCACUAUGUAUGUUACUAUAUCAGACAUUCCGGAUUGCUUUUUUCUUUUUUUUUUUGUAAUAAAUCGUAUCGUAACAUGUAGUUUGUAACAGCCCGGCCAGAUUGCAGGUUGCAUU